RNAcentral lists this long non-coding RNA (2630 nucleotides) under Olea europaea (common olive). RNAcentral describes it as "long non-coding RNA (OEUR_LNC000392)". The record is from RNAcentral. Lineage: Eukaryota; Viridiplantae; Streptophyta; Magnoliopsida; Lamiales; Oleaceae.
UUGUGCGAGAUAAAUUCAAUACAUAUUCGUACAUCACAAUAACAAGAGACAAGAAAGUGCUUUCACCUUGUCUAGUUAUAGCAAUUGCAAAGAGUUAUGGACAGAUAUGUCUCUUUUCUUCGUCCACACUCCACAAAGUUUAGUUCUGCAACAACAGAAAGAAAUGUUGCGCAUAAAAAACGUAUUGAAGAGGAGUAUAUAUUGAAAAUGCCACAUUUCUUGAAUACCAAUCUCCAAAUAUUUUAAUUAUUACGCAUUAUAAACUGAAACUGUAUAUCAAGUAUAAGCAAAAGUAAUAUUAAAGCUAAUUUGUAAUAGUCAAAUCCCUUUUCCAAAUCAGCCUACAGAAUAUUGAUUCCUAUAAGUUGCACCUAAAGAAUUCAUGGUUUUGAUAGAGACCACAGUGCCGAAUGCUGAAAUGUGAAGCAAGGAUAUCAAGUUCACGACAUAUGUAUGAAGAGAAAGUUCAUAUUCACACACGAAGAAUACUGAAAUCAAGAAACUAGAAAUUGACAUCAUAACGCAACUAAUUGAUGCUUAAGUAGUUAUAAAGAGAAAAUACACUAAAUGCUUACGGUUUCGCGUAUAUCCAAUUCAAUCUGGUAUUCUCAUGCAGUACUACUGUAUUUAAUUACCUAAAUGAGUUUAAUGACGGGAAAAGAACAGCAAGUGGAAAUGAUGAUAUUCCAUCAUGACCAGCUCCUUGCACGUUCAGGAUUUUCAUAACUAAGUUCUAAAUCUCAACAAUCUCAAAAGACGUGACCUUCUUUCAACAAACAAUAAAAAUGGUCCUCAUUGAGAACAAUGCAUCUUUUCAGUUCCACCUUCAACCCUUCUUGGACUUAUAAGUCCUAACUGGCAGAAUUUGAUCACUAGUCGCAUGAUGCAGCGUACUAGGAAGCUCCUUCUUCAGAUAAACACUCAAAUAGUUAAAUCUUUACAAUUCAUAAUUUUUAAAUUUUGACAAGACAUGAAUUAUAUAGAAGUUGUUUCCUGCAUUGGCAUCAAAGUAGGGAUAUCUUUUGUAUUGGGAUUUUGACCCAUGCUACCAUGCAACUUAUGCAAUCAACCCCAUACAACAUGUAUAUUUGUGCACAAUUGCCUUACCACUUAUAGCAUAAAACCAAAGCAAGAGGCAGAAUUUGCACUAGUUAUAUUUAAAAGUAAGUAUCAAGAAACAAUUGAACAUGUCCUCAAAAGAAAGCAUGGGAUACCCUCUGCACCAAGUGGACUCCUCUCAGACAGCCAUGAGACUCAUCGAAUUCAAUUAAUUAUAGUCCAUUAACUUCUGUUGAUGUUGUCAAACUAAACUCUGAUGAAUGCCUCAAAGGGAACUCAAAUCUAGUUGUAGGUGGGGGUGUGAUAAGAAUCAUGUAGGUAAGGUUCUCCUUGCAUGUUAUGACUUCUAUGACUUAUGUUUUUCUUAAGCUAUGCGAUCAAUCUGGAUACAGCCCAAAAAUGGGCAGAGAUUGAUUCACUUUUCCAAUGUAAAAUAAAUAAAUAAAAAUAAAAAAGGAAGGCAUAGAUGAACCUCAGAAAGUGCAAUACUAUUUAGAAGAAAUUCACCACUGGGAGAGUAGACUCAACAUUCAGUUUUUCCAUAUUUGGCGAGAAGGCAGUACAUUUGCCUACCAUUUAGCUAAUACGGGGAUACAAAUAUAUAAAGUUCAAGCUUUCAAUAACAAGAGUUAACUGCUGAGAUUAAUGUAUUGCUUAGAAUAGAUAAAUGUGGUUUCUCAAGCAUAAGGAUGUAAGUGACCUUAGUUUCUUGUUCCUUUAUUCUCUUACUUGCAAACAUAACUCAAGUAUAGACUAGGUUUCUUUCCUAAAAUUUUGUUAUAUUUCCAAGAAGGCAAGGUUCAUUGAAGUCCAACUCCUUUGUAAAAUUUAGCCAAUCAAUAUACUAGGCGAUGGGGCAAAGCCAACUCCCCAUUUUGUUAAGGUAAGAGGCCUAAAGAACAUUACAUUAUCUAGAAUGGACUUCACCAAAAAAUAAAAAAAUAAAAAUAAGAGGAAGAAGGUAUCAAGGACCAAAAGCUCAUUGAAAAUCGAAUAAGAUUCAUCUUAUAGCAAUUACAGAUUUAUAACAAGAAUCAAGUAAUAUGGGACCUCAUUGGAAAACAUCAAAGUCGUCUGAUACAAAGAAAACUUAAAUCCAUUUUACCAUUAUCUCAGGUCAUUCAAGGGGAAGAAAAAGCAUCUGAUCAAACCGCAUUCAUUUUCAGCACAGAAGAAUAAGAAGAAAACCAAUCACAAAAACACAUGGUAAAAAUCAACCAAGAUGUAAAUUCCUGCCUUACAUUCCGCAAGCUUAGAUAGUUUUUGCGAGGUCUGGUGAAUCCCGAGCCCGAUCUUGGAUGCCUUACGAUUGAAUUAACUAAAAUAAUAUAAUUUUUCUGAAAAAAAGGAAACAUAAUCUUUUCAACAACUGCCGAAUAUGGGAUAAUAUAUUCAGAAGAGUUAAUAAACAUAAUCUUUUAAUAUAUUUUCACAGACAACAACAAUUUCACAUCAUCAACCAUUUCUUUCUAAUUUAAAAACAAUAACCCACAAGCAAUAUAGAAUAUAUUCGAAAAAGGGCUCACAAAAUUGCUUUGAAUUAAUAAACAAGAAGACCUGAACUGUGUGAG